CUAUCCUUGACAUGUACAUAAUCUGGCCGAGAGGUUGGAGUGCUCGAAAGAGAACCGUAACACAGGUGCUGCAUGGCUGUCGUCAGCUCGUGUCGUGAGAUGUUGGGUUAAGUCCCGCAACGAGCGCAACCCUUAUCCUUAGUUGCUACGCAAGGGCACUUUAAGGAGACUGCCGGUGACAAACCGGAGGAAGGCGGGGAUGACGUCAAGUCCUCAUGGCCCUUAUGGGUAGGGCUUCACACGUCAUACAAUGGUCGGAACAGAGGGUAGCCAACCCGCGAGGGGGAGCCAAUCCCAGAAAACCGAUCGUAGUCCGGAUUGCAGUCUGCAACUCGACUGCAUGAAGUUGGAAUCGCUAGUAAUCGCGGAUCAGCAUGCCGCGGUGAAUACGUUCGC
This 396-nucleotide ribosomal RNA is filed under the name uncultured beta proteobacterium. RNAcentral describes it as "bacterial SSU rRNA". It matches the Rfam family "Bacterial small subunit ribosomal RNA", at positions 975 to 1373 of the family's 1533-position model. The record is from RNAcentral. Lineage: Bacteria; Pseudomonadati; Pseudomonadota; Betaproteobacteria.